AAAUUGAAGAGUUUGAUCAUGGCUCAGAUUGAACGCUGGCGGCAGGCCUAACACAUGCAAGUCGAACGGUAACAGGAAGAAGCUUGCUUCUUUGCUGACGAGUGGCGGACGGGUGAGUAAUGUCUGGGAAACUGCCUGAUGGAGGGGGAUAACUACUGGAAACGGUAGCUAAUACCGCAUAACGUCGCAAGACCAAAGAGGGGGACCUUCGGGCCUCUUGCCAUCGGAUGUGCCCAGAUGGGAUUAGCUAGUAGGUGGGGUAACGGCUCACCUAGGCGACGAUCCCUAGCUGGUCUGAGAGGAUGACCAGCCACACUGGAACUGAGACACGGUCCAGACUCCUACGGGAGGCAGCAGUGGGGAAUAUUGCACAAUGGGCGCAAGCCUGAUGCAGCCAUGCCGCGUGUAUGAAGAAGGCCUUCGGGUUGUAAAGUACUUUCAGCAGGGAGGAAGGGAGUAAAGUUAAUACCUUUGCUCAUUGACGUUACCCGCAGAAGAAGCACCGGCUAACUCCGUGCCAGCAGCCGCGGUAAUACGGAGGGUGCAAGCGUUAAUCGGAAUUACUGGGCGUAAAGCGCACGCAGGCGGUUUGUUAAGUCAGAUGUGAAAUCCCCGGGCUCAACCUGGGAACUGCAUCUGAUACUGGCAAGCUUGAGUCUCGUAGAGGGGGGUAGAAUUCCAGGUGUAGCGGUGAAAUGCGUAGAGAUCUGGAGGAAUACCGGUGGCGAAGGCGGCCCCCUGGACGAAGACUGACGCUCAGGUGCGAAAGCGUGGGGAGCAAACAGGAUUAGAUACCCUGGUAGUCCACGCCGUAAACGAUGUCGACUUGGAGGUUGUGCCCUUGAGGCGUGGCUUCCGGAGCUAACGCGUUAAGUCGACCGCCUGGGGAGUACGGCCGCAAGGUUAAAACUCAAAUGAAUUGACGGGGGCCCGCACAAGCGGUGGAGCAUGUGGUUUAAUUCGAUGCAACGCGAAGAACCUUACCUGGUCUUGACAUCCACGGAAGUUUUCAGAGAUGAGAAUGUGCCUUCGGGAACCGUGAGACAGGUGCUGCAUGGCUGUCGUCAGCUCGUGUUGUGAAAUGUUGGGUUAAGUCCCGCAACGAGCGCAACCCUUAUCCUUUGUUGCCAGCGGUCCGGCCGGGAACUCAAAGGAGACUGCCAGUGAUAAACUGGAGGAAGGUGGGGAUGACGUCAAGUCAUCAUGGCCCUUACGACCAGGGCUACACACGUGCUACAAUGGCGCAUACAAAGAGAAGCGACCUCGCGAGAGCAAGCGGACCUCAUAAAGUGCGUCGUAGUCCGGAUUGGAGUCUGCAACUCGACUCCAUGAAGUCGGAAUCGCUAGUAAUCGUGGAUCAGAAUGCCACGGUGAAUACGUUCCCGGGCCUUGUACACACCGCCCGUCACACCAUGGGAGUGGGUUGCAAAAGAAGUAGGUAGCUUAACCUUCGGGAGGGCGCUUACCACUUUGUGAUUCAUGACUGGGGUGAAGUCGUAACAAGGUAACCGUAGGGGAACCUGCGGUUGGAUCACCUCCUUA
This 1542-nucleotide ribosomal RNA is filed under the name Escherichia coli. RNAcentral's name for it is "bacterial SSU rRNA". It matches the Rfam family "Bacterial small subunit ribosomal RNA". The record is from RNAcentral. Lineage: Bacteria; Pseudomonadati; Pseudomonadota; Gammaproteobacteria; Enterobacterales; Enterobacteriaceae.